GGAGAGGUGUCCGAGCGGUUGAAGGAGCACGCUUGGAAAGCGUGUAAGCGGGGCAACCCGUUUCUGGGGUUCGAAUCCCCAUCUCUCCGCCA
Molecule: transfer RNA, 92 nt
Filed under: Candidatus Nomurabacteria bacterium
Lineage: Bacteria; Candidatus Nomuraibacteriota
Description: tRNA-Ser
Rfam family: tRNA
About the family: Transfer RNA (tRNA) molecules are approximately 80 nucleotides in length. Their secondary structure includes four short double-helical elements and three loops (D, anti-codon, and T loops).
Source: RNAcentral